RNAcentral lists this ribosomal RNA (522 nucleotides) under uncultured bacterium. RNAcentral's name for it is "partial 16S ribosomal RNA". It matches the Rfam family "Bacterial small subunit ribosomal RNA", at positions 28 to 507 of the family's 1533-position model. The record is from RNAcentral.
GAUGAACGCUGGCGGCGUGCCUAAUACAUGCAAGUCGAACGCUUUGUCUUUAAUUGAUAUGAAGAGCUUGCUCUGAUUUGAUUUUAUCUGACAAAGAGUGGCGAACGGGUGAGUAACACGUGGGUAACCUACCUCUUAGCAGGGGAUAACAUUUGGAAACAAGUGCUAAUACCGUAUAACACUAACAACCGCAUGGUUGUUAGUUGAACGAUGGUUCUGCUAUCACUAAGAGAUGGACCCGCGGUGCAUUAGCUAGUUGGUAAGGUAAUGGCUUACCAAGGGGAUGAUGCGUAGCCGAGUUGAGAGACUGAUCGGCCACAAUGGGACUGAGACACGGCCCAUACUCCUACGGGAGGCAGCAGUAGGGAAUCUUCCACAAUGGGCGCAAGCCUGAUGGAGCAACGCCGCGUGUGUGAUGAAGGGUUUCGGCUCGUAAAACACUGUUAUAAGAGAAGAACGACAUUGAGAGUAACUGUUCAGUGUGUGACGGUAUCUUAUCAGAAAGGAACGGCUAAAUACGUG